GACAAUGGGCGGAAGCCUGAUCCAGCAACGCCGCGUGAGGGAUGACGGCCUUCGGGUUGUAAACCUCUUUCAGUACCGACGAAGCGGAAGUGACGGUAGGUACAGAAGAAGCACCGGCCAACUACGUGCCAGCAGCCGCGGUAAUACGUAGGGUGCGAGCGUUGUCCGGAAUUAUUGGGCGUAAAGGGCUCGUAGGCGGUUUGUCGCGUCGGGAGUGAAAACACUGGGCUUAACUCAGUGCUUGCUUCCGAUACGGGCAGACUAGAGGCAUGCAGGGGAGAACGGAAUUCCUGGUGUAGCGGUGAAAUGCGCAGAUAUCAGGAGGAACACCGGUGGCGAAGGCGGUUCUCUGGGCAUGUCCUGACGCUGAGGAGCGAAAGUGUGGGGAGCGAACAGGAUUAGAUACCCUGGUAGUCCACACCGUAAACGUUGGGCGCUAGGUGUGGGGCCUAUUCCAUGGGUUCCGUGCCGCAGCUAACGCAUUAAGCGCCCCGCCUGGGGAGUACGGCCGCAAGGCUAAAACUCAAAGGAAUUGACGGGGGCCCGCACAAGCGGCGGAGCAUGCGGAUUAAUUCGAUGCAACGCGAAGAACCUUACCUGGGUU
Molecule: ribosomal RNA, 604 nt
Filed under: Nocardioides deserti
Lineage: Bacteria; Bacillati; Actinomycetota; Actinomycetes; Propionibacteriales; Nocardioidaceae
Description: bacterial SSU rRNA
Rfam family: Bacterial small subunit ribosomal RNA
Source: RNAcentral